RNAcentral lists this ribosomal RNA (253 nucleotides) under uncultured bacterium. Its description in RNAcentral is "partial 16S ribosomal RNA". It matches the Rfam family "Bacterial small subunit ribosomal RNA", at positions 524 to 776 of the family's 1533-position model. The record is from RNAcentral.
UACGUAGGGGGCAAGCGUUGUCCGGAUUUAUUGGGCGUAAAGAGCGUGUAGGCGGCCAGGUAGGUCUGCUGUGAAAACUCGAGGCUUAACCUCGAGCUGUCGGCGGAAACCAUCUGGCUAGAGUCCGGAAGAGGAGAAUGGAAUUCCCGGUGUAGCGGUGAAAUGCGCAGAUAUCGGGAAGAACACCCGUGGCGAAGGCGGGUCUCUGGACAGUUCCUGACGCUGAGGCACGAAGGCCAGGGGAGCAAACGGG